Molecule: non-coding RNA, 1046 nt
Organism: Aegilops tauschii subsp. strangulata
Lineage: Eukaryota; Viridiplantae; Streptophyta; Magnoliopsida; Poales; Poaceae
Source: RefSeq, a predicted model, not a curated record
UAUGUAUGGGGCAUUUAACUCUGGGCCGGAAUCAUUGUUGACUAGUAACAGUAAAACUUUGGAACUGUAAUUCUACUUGUGUGCUAGUUGUCGUAACAAACAAGCACAUUCGUUUAGUUACCGGUACUAUAUUUGGUUGAAUGAGCUCUUCUUUCCCCCUAAAUCUAGUUCUUCAUUUAUAGCCCUCAGCAUCAUGAAUCUGAAUUGUUUAAUUGCAUUGUUUCCAGGUGCAUCAGUUACUUAAGUUCAUUGCAAAAUUUUCAGAACAUCCAAAUGGCAAGGUAUUGCUAUGGAAAAUGGGAAUUGCACGGGUUCUUAAUAAGUUGCUAAAGAACUGCAGCAACGCAUCUUACUUGGAAGAUAAAGCGAUCUCUGAAAGAGGAGCCUACAGAAGUGACCAACUUAUGCUCAAAUGGAGGAUUCCCUUAUUCAGAUGUCUCGCAUCUAUCUUCAGUGCCCAGCCAUCUGGCAAAGAGCAGACUGCUAUUGAAGAGUCCUCAGAGAAUGCUAGCGUUGAGGAGUGCUCUUCUAUCAUGCAUCACCUCUUGGUCUUAUGCCAGGUAAAAUAACUUUCAUGUUAUCUAUGAUAAGAUGGUUGUCGGAUCGGCAGCGUUUACUUCUCUAUUUGAUUCUCAAGCUUAGCUCACUACUUCUGUAGUGAAGCCAGGAUGUGGUCUGUGUUUUGUUGUGGUUUCUUUAGUUUUACUACUCUGAAAGAUUGAUAUCAAGCUUUUGUAAUGAAAUACUAUCAAGUGUUCCCUACUCUAGAAGCCAUUUAUGAGUUGAAACUGCCCUGUGUAGUUAGUUCCUUUUUUUGGUUUCAAUAGUAGUCCUAGUUAAAAGGGUCAACAUGUUGGUGUCAUGUGUCAAGUGUCUGAGAUCAUACAUUGGAAGUUCAUACUGUCGGAGGUGGAAAACCUAAAGGAGUAGCUGAAGUUUGAAAAUGGUUUAUUAAAUACAUGAGAAGGCUAUGCUGAGAAUGAGGACACGGAAUGAUAAUAAUGUUUCUUCAGCUGUUACUUUCUUUUUCUUCUUCCUUUGACAGG